AACGUACGCUGGCGGCACGCCUAACACAUGCAAGUCGAACGAAGUAGCAAUACUUAGUGGCAGACGGGUGAGUAACAUGUAGGUAUCUGCCCUUUGGCCUGGAAUAACACGAGGAAACUUGUGCUAAUACCGGAUAAGUCUUUACGGAGAAAGCUUUAUGCACCAUUGGAUGAGCCUGCACUUGAUUAGUUUGUUGGUGGGGUAAUGGCCUACCAAGACUGUGAUCAAUAGCUGAUUUGAGAGGAUGAUCAGCCACAUUGGGACUGAGACACGGCCCAAACUCCUACGGGAGGCAGCAGUGGGGAAUCUUGCACAAUGGAGGAAACUCUGAUGCAGCGAUGCCGCGUGAGUGAAGAAGGCCCUUGGGUUGUAAAGCUCUUUCGUCGGGGAAGAAAAUGACUGUACCCGAAUAAGAAGGUCCGGCUAACUUCGUGCCAGCAGCCGCGGUAAUACGAAGGGACCUAGCGUAGUUCGGAAUUACUGGGCUUAAAGAGUUCGUAGGUGGUUGAAAAAGUUAGUGGUGAAAUCCCAGAGCUUAACUCUGGAACUGCCAUUAAAACUUUUCAGCUAGAGUAUGAUAGAGGAAAGCAGAAUUUCUAGUGUAGAGGUGAAAUUCGUAGAUAUUAGAAAGAAUACCAAUUGCGAAGGCAGCUUUCUGGAUCAUUACUGACACUGAGGAACGAAAGCAUGGGUAGCGAAGAGGAUUAGAUACCCUCGUAGUCCAUGCCGUAAACGAUGUGUGUUAGACGUUGGAAAUUUAUUUUCAGUGUCGCAGGGAAACCGAUAAACACACCGCCUGGGGAGUACGACCGCAAGGUUAAAACUCAAAUGAAUUGACGGGGACCCGCACAAGUAGUGGAGCAUGUGGUUUAAUUCGAAGAUACGCGCAGAACCUUACCAACACUUGACAUGUUCGUCGCGACUCUAAGAGAUUAGAGUUUUCGGUUCGGCCGGACGAAACACAGGUGCUGCAUGGCUGUCGUCAGCUCGUGUCGUGAGAUGUUGGGUUAAGUCCCGCAACGAGCGCAACCCUCACUUUUAGUUGCCAUCAUUAAGUUGGGCACUCUGAAAGAACUGCCAGUGAUAAGCUGGAGGAAGGUGGGGAUGACGUCAAGUCCUCAUGGCCCUUACGUGUUGGGCUACACACGUGCUACAAUGGUAUUUACAACAGGAAGCAAGACUGCGAAGUUAAGCAAAUCCCUAAAAAAUACCUCAGUUCGGAUUGCACUCUGCAACUCGAGUGCAUGAAGCUGGAAUUACUAGUAAUCGUGGAUCAGCGUGCCACGGUGAAUGCGUUCCCGGGUCU
This 1306-nucleotide ribosomal RNA is filed under the name uncultured bacterium. RNAcentral's name for it is "bacterial SSU rRNA". It matches the Rfam family "Bacterial small subunit ribosomal RNA", at positions 28 to 1381 of the family's 1533-position model. The record is from RNAcentral.